Carlito syrichta (Philippine tarsier) is the source of this 177-nucleotide RNA transcript. It is a transcript of the gene named metallothionein-2 pseudogene, with no coding region annotated. Lineage: Eukaryota; Metazoa; Chordata; Mammalia; Primates; Tarsiidae. The record is from RefSeq and is a predicted model, not a curated record. The transcript has a single exon.
AUGGACCCCAACUGCUCCUGUGCCGCUGGUGACUCCUGCACCUGUGCUGGCUCCUGCAAGUGCAAAGAGUGCAAAUGCAAGUCCUGCAAGAAAAGCUGCUGCCCUGUGGGCUGUGCCAAGUGUGCCCAGGGCUGCGUCUGCAAAGAGACAUCGGACAAGUGCAGCUGCUGCGCCUGA